RNAcentral lists this transfer RNA (77 nucleotides) under Legionella israelensis. RNAcentral's name for it is "tRNA-Met(cat)". It matches the Rfam family "tRNA". Rfam says of the family: Transfer RNA (tRNA) molecules are approximately 80 nucleotides in length. Their secondary structure includes four short double-helical elements and three loops (D, anti-codon, and T loops). The record is from RNAcentral. Lineage: Bacteria; Pseudomonadati; Pseudomonadota; Gammaproteobacteria; Legionellales; Legionellaceae. RNAcentral also lists the same sequence under 7 other names.
GGGCCCAUAGCUCAGUUGGUUAGAGCAGCGGACUCAUAAUCCGUUGGUCCUAGGUUCGAGUCCUAGUGGGCCCACCA